AAGGCCCCUAUCCGCCAUUUUCUGGAACCAAAUAAGGGGAGCCAGAGAGCAAUUGGGAAGGAAGAACGGAGUGCUGGAAUUUCUGGGCAGCAGCAAUCGCACAGUGAGAGUGCGCUGGAAAUUUCAGAGGAGAGUGAGACUACAGUGAGUGCACAGCAGCAAGGAUUAAUUCACGCACAGCAAGGGAGUUUUAAUUUCACGCACAGUGUUUCUUUCGAUUCUGUUCAUUUAAUUGCUUUUAGUUCAUUUCCUGUUGGUUAAUUUCUAUAGUAGUAUUACGCUUUAAUUUCAGUAUUGUACUGUUUAGUAAUCUCAUUCUGCUUCUUUUAUUUUCUGUGGACAUUUAGAUUGUGUUAUUAAUUUCUGUUAUUCCUUUAUAAUUUACCGUCAUUAAUUUAUGUUUUUUAAAUUCUGCCUUUUAAUUUCUGCAAUUUAGUUUCAGUAUUUUAAUUUUAGCACUUUUAUUUUUGUAACUUUAAUUUCUUGUUAUUUAAUUUUUGUCAAUUAAUUUUUAAAUGGAGACAUAUAGCUAAGUAAGUAUUGGGCCGAGGCAAGGAUAGUGUUCGAUGCUAUGAAUAACCCAAACAAGCUGACUCCAUUGCUUAGUUGAGAUUUUAAAAUUAGAUUAAGAAUUUUUGGCAAAACAUUUAGAUUUGCAUUGAGGUAUAUGCUUAACUCGAAACUCUCGUGCCAAGUAUGUGAGUUGCCCAAAUUGAAAAUACUGUCAUACUAUACCCAAGUCUAAGUGUAAUAUAUUUGCAUUUUAAUUUAUGAUGGUUGCUCAAGUUAGAUCUUCUCAUGCCAUGUAUGGAAGAUGCUAGAAAUAGAACUAUCAUUAUCCCAAAGUGUAAUCAAUAGCAAAAUUCUAUAAUCUAAUUUUCAAAUCUGAUGAUACUAUAAUUUUGUGCUUGCUUGGGGAAUGAAUGGAUCGACAUUAAAAUUGUCUUGUCCCAAAACGUUUUAUUUUCAGUGUUAAUUCACUAUCUUAAUUUUUCCCGUAUCACACCACACUAUUUCACAAUUUACUUUCAUGCACUGUCUUUAUUUUUUUAUUUUAAUAAUUAACUUCCCUGUAGAUAUGACCUGGACUUACCAGUUUUAAAUUUUGUACUACAUAAACCUCGUAUUCUGGCAAGUGUGACCCCCUUGUGAGUGUGUCUUUAAGGUAGUUAAUUUUACGCAAAGCUAGGAGUCGAACUCAUCGUCGUCAUUCUCAACCAACGGCCAUCCCCAAAGAACCAUCAUGACCUGAAGGCUAUUUUGGAGCCUCUAGGCGAGCUUCCCGAUGGCCAAAGACAGCUAGCCAGCGACCACAAUACAUUCAAUCGGUUUCACAUCUAUUUUUGGUUUUUUUCACUUUCACCCCCUAACUAAUUUUCAACUAUAGUUUACCCCUUUCCUUAACACCCCUCAACUUUUCAUUAGUUCCACUAUGGCCUACAAGUUCCCAACUCUUCAUUCCACCCUAGAGUUUCUAGGAAAUUUGUCUUUUCGACCUCCAUCAAGCAGUUUCUGAAUUUUACACUUUGGCUUGGGUAUGUGAAAAUCGCAUUUUUGGUCCUCAUUUCGCGAAUCUUCUUUUGUUUUUGAUAAAUCCUAUUUCCUUGGACAUUUCUAUGCCCCAAGUUUCAUUCUUGUUGCUGUCAUUUCACCAUCUUUGCCAAGUUUUGUAAUUUACACGUUGGCCCUCAGUGUAUGGAAAAUUGCAUUUUGACCCGCAAAUUUCUACAAAUUCUAUCGUACCUUUAAUAUAAAUUCCUAGGUAUUACACUUUUGGUCAUUUUCUAUUUCUCUUAUUCUUUCCCAUUUUCUUUAUUCUCCCUAUUUAGGGAAUUCCUAUUUUUAUCUUUACCUUUUUCCUACACCAUAUAUACAAGGUAAGCCUCUUUGGGCUUUUUCCAUUUCUUUUGUUUUUCCUUUACCUUAAUCAACCCCCAUGAUACACACACACACACAUAUACAUAUAUAUAUAUAUAUAAUCCAAUUAACCAUUUAAUUAAUCAAGUAUUAUGCACCCAUAUAUGCAUAUAUAUUAUAUUCUCAUUUAUGUGGGCUAAUCAAAUUUAAUUUUCCUUACAUUUAUUUCUCAUAAAAAUAUUUUCCCUUAAUUUUCCCCUCUUUAACAACACAUAAAUUAUUUCCAACAAAUAAUUAAUAAAGGAAAAAAUUUCUAAUGCCCAAAAUAAAAUACCGAUAACUCCUAGACCCACUAACGGGUCGUUACACUAUAUAAUGUUGCAUUUGGUAUCGACAUCGUGUGCCCAAUGCGUUGCAGGAAACAACAAGUCAGAUGUUGACUUGUUGGGUAGGGAGGUUAACUUUCUUUUGUGGGAGUCAACUCCCAAUGGCUGUAGAAGUGGACUCCUACAUCGCCUUGGCCAACGGUAGUGCUGUCCAUGUGGCGGCCAAUUGGGAAGGCUAGGGUGAGGCAACAAUUCAAUUUGGGAUGUGAGUAUAUAAGGAAAAUUACAAAGAGAAGAUGAAGACUUAUGAAUGCUUGCUCCUCUAUAAUUUCUAUUCCUCUGUCUUCUUUCGCUUUUGUUAAAAAAUGUUGUUAUGUGGUUGUCAUGCUAUAAUUUUGAGACACAAGUGUUGGUGAUUCGAGCAGCCUCUGGUCUAGCACGAAAAGAGGUGACCAGAACAAUAUCGGAUAGCAAGCUAAGUGCGAAUAACCUAGGACCACCACAACGUGAGGUGGCAUCUGGUCUCAGUACAGAAAGCAUUUCUAUACCCCAACCUAACAUUCAUUUCAGCUAAAAUAGUGAGCACAACCUUCAUCUAAGGAAAGAACAAACGAAGACCUACGGAGGAUGAGGGUGUCACUGCUCCCAAGAAGGGAAAAGCUACCUUGAAUCCCUCUCCGGCCGAGAAAGGGAAAUCUAGCCGCCCUAGGAAGAAGAAAACUUCUCAAUCUUCGAGACAACUCAUCCCAUAACCCGAUUCUCCUCCACACUAUUCAGACCAUGUUCCUGACUGGGGAGUGAAGGAAAACGACCUCAUUCGGAAUAGUCAGGUAGUGAGACGAAUGAUUCACCAUUUCGCCACCCCACCCGAUCGUCAAGUGUUGGUUGAACAGUCUUCAGAGGCAGUAAAAGCCACUUUGUGCAAGCAUUUGGCCCAAGUGGUCAUGUUUGUUUCAGACUUCUUUGGACGCUUUGUCGAAGCUUCCAAGAAGAACUUGGAACUAGACACACAAUUGCAUGAGAGGGACAAGUUAGUAGAGAGCCAGAGGAAGAACCUGGAUGAGUUGACCUCCAAGCAACAGUCUUUGGGCCUACGCAUUCAGGAGCUCAAGGAAGAGCUAUCCCGGGCUAACUUAGAGUUAUCCCAAGUGAACUCACUCAUUUGUAGGUACAAACGCAAAUAUGCCAAGCCCACCAAACUUCCUGAGAUGGAGGAGUUCAUCCAACAGAACUUAUAAGAGGCUUGGACGAAGGGAUUUCAAGCCCAUGGGACUAAGGUGUUAUAAGCUCAUCCAGACUUAGACAUGUCCAAUGUUUGAUCUGUUGAAGAAAUUGUGGCUGAGUUGGAGGACUCAGAGAUGGCCGCCGACAAUGACGUUUCUCCUGAUGCUUGAGUUGUUUUUUCUAUUUUUCUAGCUAGGACUUUUUGUACCUCUUCCAUCAUCAUGUAUUAGACUAUUUCAUAAUGCCAUUCUAU
Molecule: long non-coding RNA, 3660 nt
Organism: Diospyros lotus (date-plum)
Lineage: Eukaryota; Viridiplantae; Streptophyta; Magnoliopsida; Ericales; Ebenaceae
Exons: 3
Source: RefSeq, a predicted model, not a curated record